GGCCUGGUGGUCUAGUAGUAUGAUUCCUUCUUAGGGCUGUCAAGUCACGUGUGGAGGAGGUCCCGGGUUCAAUUCCCGGCCAGGCCC
This is a non-coding RNA of Steccherinum ochraceum, 87 nucleotides long. The record is from the annotation of a GenBank genome assembly. NCBI's taxonomy places the organism in Eukaryota, Fungi, Basidiomycota, Agaricomycetes, Polyporales, Steccherinaceae.